CCCCGGCUUGUCCCCUCCCCUUGAGCAAAAAACAUAGAGUUGAACCACUUGCAAAAGACAUUCCUCGACAACUUCUCUAGACCAGAACGAGUUUCCAAAAUGCAAAAUACAUCUAACUUAACUAAAUUAGACAGAAAUUUAAAUUGCGGGGCAAAAUCAGGUCUACCCCAUCCCCUGCAGUUCCAAACUAAGCACUUCACCAAUCCACAUCUUCCACCACAAAGCCUGAUCCAUUCUCAUCACCACUGUUCCUUACCCUCUUCCUACUUCCUCCAAUCUGCAGCAACUCCAAAUUCUCCUCUUCAGCCUCCAUAAACUCAUCCUCUUCUUCAACAGCAGCCUUCCGCUUUCCAUUGCUCGAUUCACCAAACCGAUUACCUCCCACUAUUUCAUCAUCAACCAGAGCACAAUCGGGUCUCCACUUAGACACCAAAUCUGCUUUCGAAACCCAGGUUCUAUUCCCUCUAACAACCUUAUCAGACGAUCGACCAUCUCUCCUAACCCUACUCCUGCCUCUGCUCGCAGACCUACACUUCCUCGAAGCCACUGUAGUCCAUCCAGAGGGGGCGUUAAGGGGGAGCGCAAUGUGCACUCGUACAGGACCCCUAAUUUGAAGGGCCUUUUGCUAUUUAGCGUCAUGUAAUAAUAUUUUAUAUUUAAAAAAUUACUUUUAUUAGCAUUUUAAACCGCAUUGUGCACUCCCUAUAAGAGUUUUUUUCUUUCUUUUUAAAUAUAAAAACUUGGAGUACAAUAAAAUAUUUUGACUAUCAAUAAUAACAUCCUGAAAAACAGCAUUUUCUUAUUUUUAUUAUAUAGCAACGUUAUACAUUCAAGUGAAACUUUAAAGUUAGAUAUUUGAUGUUUUUUUUUCAUGUUUGGUUGUUUAAGAUAAAAUUGUUUUUUAUUAUUUAGUGAAGGUUAUGUUUGUAGUUUUUUUACUUAUCAUAAAGGACAUUUGUAAAUAUGCAAUGAGUGUGUGUUAAAGUU
This 987-nucleotide long non-coding RNA is filed under the name Malus domestica (apple). RNAcentral describes it as "long non-coding RNA (MDOM_LNC016664)". Lineage: Eukaryota; Viridiplantae; Streptophyta; Magnoliopsida; Rosales; Rosaceae. The record is from RNAcentral.